GCCUCCUCGUCUCCCACUUCCCCCUCCGUACAGCCUCCGGCGGCUGCUCCUUCACCGGAAAUCCUAGCAUCUACUCCUCCCCCUCCUCCGACGCCGAAGGUCGCUCCAGUUGUUUCUACACACCCGGCAGCCGAGGGCGGGCGGAUAAUUGCCACGCCCUACGCCAAGAAGCUCGCCAAGGACCUCAAGGUGGAGCUAGCGACGGUGGCCGGGACCGGCCCCAUGGGCCGGAUCGUGGCCAAGGACGUCGAGGCUGCCGCUGCCGCCCCCGCCUCGGCUCCGCCCAAGCCGGCUCCGG
Molecule: unclassified non-coding RNA, 298 nt
Filed under: Hevea brasiliensis (rubber tree)
Lineage: Eukaryota; Viridiplantae; Streptophyta; Magnoliopsida; Malpighiales; Euphorbiaceae
Source: RNAcentral